AAGUCGUAACAAGGUCUCCGUAGGUGAACCUGCGGAGGGAUCAUUAGAAAUGCUUUGUUCUUUCUUUCCGACUUUUCUCGUUUACCCGAGAAAAUCGCAAAAAAGAAACAUCAUUUCCUGGCAUGUCUCGUUUUGUGCUUUUUCCAUUUCUUCGGAAAAGAAGAAGGAUAAAGCGAGAUAAGCCAGACUCAUUUGUGUGUGUAGAAUCUUGCCAUGGGAGUUCGCUUCCAUGCCAUUUUUUUUGCACACAUAUAUCUACACCUUUAUUUAACUAUAUUGUCUGAAUCUCAACUAUAUUCUUAUGUCGAAAUAUCUAUAUUUUGAUGUAAAAUAUAAAAAAAUUAAAUUUAAAACAACUUUCAACAAUGGAUCCCUCGAUUCUCC
RNAcentral lists this unclassified non-coding RNA (384 nucleotides) under fungal sp. RNAcentral's name for it is "partial internal transcribed spacer region". The stretch from base 1 to 46 matches the Rfam family "Eukaryotic small subunit ribosomal RNA", at positions 1786 to 1831 of the family's 1831-position model. Lineage: Eukaryota; Fungi. The record is from RNAcentral.